UCUCAAGAAAUCAGGUGUCCUCAAUAUUCCAAAUAGCUCUGAUACUACUGAAAUGUCGAGAAUCACACAAAUAUUAACCAAGAUUCAUAAACCAAUCAUCAAGAACAGUAAGUAAAAGUGUAGAAAACAUAAAAAAAUCAACAUAAGAUUUUUCAGUCGUAGCCCCAGAGAUUCGGCGACCACUUCUAACGCCUGAUUCCCUAUUGAGAAUCCAUUAUAAAUGAAUUUAGCUAGGUAACACUAAAAUAGCCAAAAAUCGACAACAAGAAUACACAACCGUUCCAAAAAAAUACAAGAACAAAGUCACAAAGACUUGUCUCAAUAAUAUCCACGAAGGAAUCAACUUAGACCACUAAGAUCUCCAGAAAAUCCGAACUACUCUCACAAGAAUCACUCAAAUUCUCACAAACCAACAUAUAGUAGUACACUACUACAAAUAUUUAUAGUAUUACAAAGGGUUUUCACUAGUUAUAUGUUGAAACAUUGGAGAAAAUCAAACCCUAAUCACAAAGAUGGAGUUCUUCACAGAGAGAGGGACCACGAAGAGACAGAUUCAAAACCAAGAAAAAAUCUCUCCAUUCUGCCAGACCAAAGGUUACUGGAAGCAUCUAG
Molecule: long non-coding RNA, 612 nt
Filed under: Olea europaea (common olive)
Lineage: Eukaryota; Viridiplantae; Streptophyta; Magnoliopsida; Lamiales; Oleaceae
Description: long non-coding RNA (OEUR_LNC012319)
Source: RNAcentral